This 62-nucleotide transfer RNA is filed under the name Alleculinae sp. ENSP01. RNAcentral's name for it is "tRNA-Arg". The record is from RNAcentral. Lineage: Eukaryota; Metazoa; Arthropoda; Insecta; Coleoptera; Tenebrionidae.
AAAUAAGAAGCAAAAAUUGCAUUUAGUUUCGACCUAAAAAUAUGACUUACAGUCCUUAUUUU